RNAcentral lists this ribosomal RNA (266 nucleotides) under uncultured archaeon. Its description in RNAcentral is "partial 16S ribosomal RNA". It matches the Rfam family "Archaeal small subunit ribosomal RNA", at positions 715 to 982 of the family's 1478-position model. The record is from RNAcentral.
AGUCACUGACAUUAGAUAACCCCGGUAGUCCCAGCCGUAAACAAUGUGCGUUAGGUGUGUCGGUAACUACGUGUUACUGAUGCGCCGAAGAGAAAUCGUGAAACGCACCACCUGGGAAGUACGGUCGCAAGGCUGAAACUUAAAGGAAUUGGCGGGGGAGCACCACAACAGGUGGAGCCUGCGGUUUAAUUGGAUUCAACGCCGGACAUCUCACCGGAUAAGACAGCUGAAUGAUUGUCAAUCUGAAGGUUUUACAUGACUAGCUG